RNAcentral lists this ribosomal RNA (468 nucleotides) under uncultured bacterium. RNAcentral describes it as "partial 16S ribosomal RNA". It matches the Rfam family "Bacterial small subunit ribosomal RNA", at positions 28 to 507 of the family's 1533-position model. The record is from RNAcentral.
GACGAACGCUGGCGGCGUGCUUAACACAUGCAAGUCGAACGGAAAGGCCCUGCUUUUGUGGGGUGCUCGAGUGGCGAACGGGUGAGUAACACGUGAGUAACCUGCCCUUGACUUUGGGAUAACUUCAGGAAACUGGGGCUAAUACCGGAUAGGAUCUCCUGCUGCAUGGUGGGGGUUGGAAAGUUUCGGCGGUUGGGGAUGGACUCGCGGCUUAUCGGCUUGUUGGUGGGGUAGUGGCUUACCAAGGCUUUGACGGGUAGCCGGCCUGAGAGGGUGACCGGCGACAAUGGGACUGAGAUACGGACCAGACUCCUACGGGAGGCAGCAGUGGGGAAUAUUGCACAGUGGGCGGAAGCCUGAUGCAGCAACGCCGCGUGCGGGAUGACGGCCUUCGGGUUGUAAACCGCUUUCGCCUGUGACGAAGCGUGAGUGACGGUAAUGGGUAAAGAAGCACCGGCUAACUACGUG